Long non-coding RNA from Photinus pyralis (common eastern firefly), 776 nucleotides. RefSeq lists it as uncharacterized. The transcript is spliced from 2 exons. The record is from RefSeq and is a predicted model, not a curated record. Lineage: Eukaryota; Metazoa; Arthropoda; Insecta; Coleoptera; Lampyridae.
UAGUAAAAACAUUAAAGAAUAAUUAAAUGACGGUUAAUUCCCGUCCUGUAAACAAAAUUUUAUGGAAGUGAUAAACAAGAUUGAUGCCAAGUUCCGAAAGGUGUCCUACGUGUCUGGUAUCAGGGUAAACACGAGAAGCGGUCAUUAGUGCUUUUCUAUAAAUUUUGGCUUCGGUCUCAUUCAUGUUACUGUAUUCUAUAUUAAGUAUUAGGAAAGGUAUAGGUAACGGGGUGAUCGUCUAUUCGUAUCACAGUAAAAUGUCGGGACAAGUAUCUGAUGCCAAGCCAAUUUUGACAAGGAUUUCUGUAGUUCCAAAAAAUUCGUCCCAUCUUAGUGAUUCACCAACCUUGAUGGGUGCUGCGUAUUCUACUACGCCUGUAGGUACAAAAAUGGUAUAUGAAAGAGCCGUCAUAAUGAAUUUGCGCAACUCUCCAAUCUCAAACACGCCGCCGAAUUGGAAAAUUCCGCAAUCAAUAGCAAUAAAUCAUGGAUCUUUGCAGUGUAUUGAAAAGAAACAUAGUCCGUCUAAAAGAAUUUGCGCCGAGAAGAGAAAUGCGGACUUUUUCGGUCAAUUUGCAGACGAUGCCGAACAAUUCGACAUGGAAAUGUAGUUAUUUAAUUUUUUAUAAAUCAAGUGCAAUAGGCCAUGUUGGUGUCAUAGAUGGCUUUCUAACAUUUUAUAACCACCUUGUAUUUUUACAAAUUUUUAUAGGCUUUUAAACGGUUAGCAUUAAUUAUAAAGUGUGAAUACCAAACAUGAUCAUGUCAUUUGUCAA